This 27-nucleotide small RNA is filed under the name Bombyx mori (domestic silkworm). RNAcentral describes it as "ovarian small RNA-16992". The record is from RNAcentral. Lineage: Eukaryota; Metazoa; Arthropoda; Insecta; Lepidoptera; Bombycidae.
GCGUCGGUCGACGGGUAGGCCCCGAGU